CUACGGAGGGUCCAAGCGUUAUCCGGAAUCAUUGGGUUUAAAGGGUCCGCAGGCGGUCAAUUAAGUCAGAGGUGAAAGCCCAUCGCUCAACGAUGGAACUGCCUUUGAUACUGGUUGACUUGAGUUAUACGGAAGUAGAUAGAAUAAGUAGUGUAGCGGUGAAAUGCAUAGAUAUUACUUAGAAUACCGAUUGCGAAGGCAGUCUACUACGUAUAUACUGACGCUGAGGGACGAAAGCGUGGGGAGCGAACAGGAUUAGAUACCCUAGUAGUCC
RNAcentral lists this ribosomal RNA (274 nucleotides) under uncultured bacterium. Its description in RNAcentral is "partial 16S ribosomal RNA". It matches the Rfam family "Bacterial small subunit ribosomal RNA", at positions 523 to 796 of the family's 1533-position model. The record is from RNAcentral.